Molecule: ribosomal RNA, 950 nt
Filed under: Aspergillus oryzae
Lineage: Eukaryota; Fungi; Ascomycota; Eurotiomycetes; Eurotiales; Aspergillaceae
Description: SSU rRNA
Rfam family: Eukaryotic small subunit ribosomal RNA
Source: RNAcentral
CCANGNNUUAANNCCCUGCAUGUCUAAGUAUAAGCACUUUAUACUGUGAACUGCGAAUGGCUCAUUAAAUCAGUUAUCGUUUAUUUGAUAGUACCUUACUACAUGGAUACCUGUGGUAAUUCUAGAGCUAAUACAUGCUAAAAACCUCGACUUCGGAAGGGGUGUAUUUAUUAGAUAAAAAACCAAUGCCCUUCGGGGCUCCUUGGUGAUUCAUAAUAACUUAACGAAUCGCAUGGCCUAUGCGCCGGCGAUGGUUCAUUCAAAUUUCUGCCCUAUCAACUUUCGAUGGUAGGAUAGUGGCCUACCAUGGUGGCAACGGGUAACGGGGAAUUAGGGUUCGAUUCCGGAGAGGGAGCCUGAGAAACGGCUACCACAUCCAAGGAAGGCAGCAGGCGCGCAAAUUACCCAAUCCCGACACGGGGAGGUAGUGACAAUAAAUACUGAUACGGGGCUCUUUUGGGUCUCGUAAUUGGAAUGAGUACAAUCUAAAUCCCUUAACGAGGAACAAUUGGAGGGCAAGUCUGGUGCCAGCAGCCGCGGUAAUUCCAGCUCCAAUAGCGUAUAUUAAAGUUGUUGCAGUUAAAAAGCUCGUAGUUGAACCUUGGGUCUGGCUGGCCGGUCCGCCUCACCGCGAGUACUGGUCCGGCUGGACCUUUCCUUCUGGGGAACCUCAUGGCCUUCACUGGCUGUGGGGGGAACCAGGACUUUUACUGUGAAAAAAUUAGAGUGUUCAAAGCAGGCCUUUGCUCGAAUACAUUAGCAUGGAAUAAUAGAAUAGGACGUGCGGUUCUAUUUUGUUGGUUUCUAGGACCGCCGUAAUGAUUAAUAGGGAUAGUCGGGGGCGUCAGUAUUCAGCUGUCAGAGGUGAAAUUCUUGGAUUUGCUGAAGACUAACUACUGCGAAAGCAUUCGCCAAGGAUGUUUUCAUUAAUCAGGAACGAAAGUUAGGGG